Long non-coding RNA from Oreochromis niloticus (Nile tilapia), 4371 nucleotides. RefSeq annotates it as serine/threonine-protein kinase/endoribonuclease IRE1. NCBI's taxonomy places the organism in Eukaryota, Metazoa, Chordata, Actinopteri, Cichliformes, Cichlidae. The transcript has 7 exons. The record is from RefSeq and is a predicted model, not a curated record.
UUUUGUUUGUCUUUACUCGAAGAGAUCAAAUUAUUGGUGGGGACAAUUCAAUAAUCGCUGGAUAUUGGUGAGGACAUGUCCCUUCUGUUCACGCCAAAUCUACGCACUUGAUUUAUUGCUGUAUCAUUAUUCCCCCUCACAUCUCAACAAAUGAUUAAAGAAUCGAAUCAAAGGAAAUCGUUACUCUUUUAACACAUAAACACAGUGCAGAAAGACCUAUAAGGAUGCUGAAGAGAUAGCAGAAAGCCAAAUAUUGUCAGACAGAAAAGCACACAGACAAACUUGGAAAAGUUGAUUUGUGGAAAAUGAAAUGCUGUUGGCGGCAAUGGACAGCUGUUAGUAUACACUCUCAAGCAGUAAUGAGGUUGCAUGUUGCUAUAAGACAGCUGAUCGAGCUGUUUCAUUUACUACACGUUUAAUAAAGGGUACAAGACCCGUGGCAGUUGUCUGGCUUUGAAAUGACUGGAAUCUUUACAUUUCGACUUUUUUCUCAAAAUAAUAUUUCGAUUUCAAUGUCGAAGUUCCGACUUUAUUAAAUCAAAGGACAUUUUGUUUCUUAAUGUGACCUAAUACUCCUUCGCACUUCUCUGAUUUUUCCGUUAUCAUCAACACACACACACACAAAAAAAAAGGAUGGGCGUGAACAUGAGAAAAAAUAAUAAUGUGUUCGCUUAAGACACACUGGCGUGGAGACUUACUUGCCAUUACAGUGUUUCUAGUUUACUUGAGGUUAUGAUUGGUCUGAAUCUCUGAAAGAGAGUGUGUUUAGUCGAAGUUUCAUCGCCUUUGAAUACAGUUUUAAGCCUGUGUCGGCAACAAGGCGGGACCGCUACUUUGCAAAGAACAAGACUCGCUUGAGCGCAGUAAGUAGACUGAGAUCUUGAAGGUUCCAAAACCAUACUAGUAAUACCAAACUGAGGUAGAAACCCACCCAAUCCACUAGGAAUUAAUUUCUCCAGUCUUUAUCUUCUAUUGUAGCUCCUUAAACAGGAGGAUCCGAAAGAAACGGAGAAGUUCUGAGAGGAGCUUACAGACAAGGAGUGCAGCGACUUGACUUCGGUAAUCUGAAGCAAAGACAUGAAUUCUGUCACUCCAGGAAUUGAACACCCUCCAGUAAGAGAAACACACCCUGUAAUAGAGUGUAUAUUUAAUGAUGACCUUGAGAAGCUUAAAACAUUACUGAAGAACAGUGAUGUUAAUGAACUUUAUCACUGUAAAGACUGGGAUGAUGAUAUAACCCCACUGAUUGCUGCUGUUGCAAAGCACAACAAACCUAUAUCUUUUGACCUUUUAAUUAAUGGUGCGGACUCAAAUAUAACUUCUAAACACCACUUCACACCUUUGCAUUAUUUCUCCCUGACCAACACACUUGAUUUUGUGGAGAAACUCCUGGAAGCAAAUUCUCAUCCAGAUGGAUCUACUCCAAUGCAACCACAUAAACACACAUCAGUGCAAACUGCUGAUAUUAGAGACAAAGAGGAUGUCAUGCAAAGACUCAUUUCUGCUGGUGCACGGGUCACAUUGCUGCCCAAGAAUGAUGCUGAGUGUGUUAGUAACAAUAAUAAAAAGUCUCAGAUGAUUGCAUCAAAUGAAGAUGAGGCAUUUUCCAAGAUCAGAGAUUUUAUUGAUGUGGAAACUGCUGCUUUUAAAACACCUGAAGAAGUGUUUACAACUGAUAACAAUAAGAUGCUGUUAGAGAAUCCAGAGUCACAUUUGACCAUAUAUGAAAUUCUCUUUACUGGGAGAGGAAAAGAAAAACAUGGCCAGAGAUGUAUUACAUGGCUAAAGGAAACUGGAAAUGUGAAUACUUACAUUGCAGGUGCAGCCACUCGUUUUCCAAACAUCCCUAAGACACAUGUAAAGCUGGCAGUUGAAGGUUUAAAUGCAGUUUUCUGUACAAUGGAUGACAUAACAAAUGAGCAUGCAGUAGCUAUAGUUCCACAAUUACUGAACCUGCUUGACUCACAAGACAGUGGUGUUUGUGAAGCAGUGCUACAAACACUCUAUGUGAUAACACAGAAAACAAAAGGCACAAAGAGCUGGGACUUUUUAGAGAACUUAUGCAGAACAGUUGCCCCUUUUGUAAAUGAGAAGCACCCCACUAACAUCAGGGUCUACACAUAUAGCAUAGUCGCAAAUCUGAUGUCAGUUGAACAGGCAGCUAAAAUUUUUACAUCAGAGGUUGUAACUUCCGUGCCCAAGGACAUACUGACAUCAGGUGACAUGAAAAUGAAUCAAAAGCUGAAAGAAGUGCUGAGAAGUCUGAAAAAUUAUUUGAGCAAACCAAACUCAGAAUGUGAGGGAAAUGCAGCAUCGUCUGUGGCCAGGAAUACGAAGGAAAUGCCGGAAUCAGCUUCAGAUGAAACGCCUUUCAACCAACAAGAGUUUCGCAGGACACCAGUGAGCAAGAGGUGGAAGAAGCUCCUGGAUAAACUGGAGCGAGAUGUUCGCAAUGGGAAAAAAACAGUAAUCAGAAUCGGAAAAUGUUUUUAUGUGAAUGAUACAGAAUUCAGAAUAACGAAGAGUGAUGGUACUGAAGUCUUCUUGGGACUGAGAGAGGAUGGCACAGAAGUUGCCAUUAAGAAAAUGUCUAAAAGCAACAGUGGCAAUCUGAAGAAUGAAAAAGAAAUCCUACAACUCCCUGAACUCGAUCAUCCUUAUAUUAUACGAUAUGUUGAUGUUGAAGAGGACAAGAAAUUUGAAUAUCUUUGUCUGCAACUUUGUGAAUACACCUUGGAUAGCUAUAUCAAAAGAAUUAAUAAAGACACUGGGAAAGAUUUCCUUUUACAGAGACUCGUCAAACAACUUCUUGAAAGUCUAAAGGUGCUUCACUCUCACGAUCCUCCAAUUCUCCACAAAAAUCUCAUACCCGAGAACAUUUUUAUUGAUGUUAUUGGGAGGGUAAGAAUAGCUGGUUUUGGCAUGAGCAGCCAGAAACAAGACUCAUACACGUCAAGCAGUGAAAUAAAGGUGGCAGGAUUUCUGAUUUCUCAUAUCCUCUCUGGAGCCCGGCGUAAAUUUAAAACUGAAAUCAAAAAAUGUAAGGACAAUUUGAAACAUAUUAACGAUGUGGUGGCAAAGAAUCUCAUCAAGUGGAUGAUCAGAGGUGAGCCAGAGGGCAGACCCAAAGCAGAAGAAUGCUUGGACCAUCCCUUCUUCUGGACUAAGAACGAGAAAUUUGAAUACCUGAGAUGGACUGCUAACAGGGAGGAAGUGAAAAACUGUCGGAGGGCUGACCAGAACCUGGAACCCUUUAAAGACUGGAAAAAUAAGUUUUCAUCCACUAUUGUUACGGAGAUGGACAAUUAUAGUCGUGAAACACCUCCCAAACCCAAACCAUACCCUGAAAAUGUAUUUGGACUGCUCCUUUUUAUACGUAAUCUCCAUGAGCAUUAUCCACAUUACGCAAAGGAGUGUGAUGCAGUGAACAAAUUUCCAGAUCUCUUUGGUUGGGUUUACAAGUAUGCUGAGGACAAGCGCUGGAAUUCAGAGUCACCUUUGAAAGAAAUGUUUCAAAGAAAAAAAGACAAAGUGGACUUUAGCACCAGUGUUGUGAUGCCAUCUAUGAGCACUGAGGAGUGAGCAGUCUCAACCUACUAAAAUGAAAAUGAAAUGAAAAUUGAAUUCAGAAUGAAGGACCUCUCAGUGGCUGUGGAGCUUGAGAGAAGUAAUAAAAAUAUGUAAAUAUAAGUAUUAUUGUAUGGCGCUCAUCUUACUUCAGUAUCUUUUAUUUUGUCAGGCUGUAUACUUUCAAAGACUUCUUUUAGUUUUGUUUUGCUACUAGUUAACUCCCAAUUGAAUGAAGAUGGGUAGAAACAAUGGAGGUUCAGGAUGAAGAAGCUCAUAAAUGACUACGGCUAACAUACUGCCAGUGAAAAACAAGAAAAGCAGUUAGUAGCUUUAGAACCACAGAUAUAAUUAAACCAUAAGAUGCAGGCUGUGUUCUUCUCAGGCAUGUACAAGCAUGACCCUGAAACUAUACCUAAAUUGAUUUAAGCUAAAUUUAAGUUCAAUGUAUUUGAGCUACAAUGUAUGAUUUGUGUCUGUUAUCGUCUGUUAUUGUAAUUCCCAAAAGAAUCACCAAUUAACCUAAAAAAGCAAGUUGUUGGACUGUGAGAGGGAGCCGGAGCACCCUCAGAGAACACAACAUGCAAACAGCAGCCAGCAGAUUCACAUGCAGGACCUUCUUGCUGUGAGGCAACAGUACCAACCACUGCACCACCGUGCUGACCUUAGAGUGCAGUUGUAUGGUGGAAAAUGUUACUGUGGAUGCUUUAGAUCAGCGGUCCCCAACCCCCGCGCCUCGGACCGGUACCGGUCCGUGAGUCGUUUGGUACCGGGCCGCGAGAGUUGAGGCUCAGGUGUGAAAUG